RNAcentral lists this ribosomal RNA (482 nucleotides) under uncultured bacterium. RNAcentral's name for it is "partial 16S ribosomal RNA". It matches the Rfam family "Bacterial small subunit ribosomal RNA", at positions 28 to 507 of the family's 1533-position model. The record is from RNAcentral.
GAUGAACGCUAGCGGCAGGCCUAAUACAUGCAAGUCGGACGGGAUUCAGGAGCUUGCUUCUGAUGAGAGUGGCGCACGGGUGCGUAACACGUAUGUAACCUACCUUUAUCAGGGGGAUAACCUCUCGAAAGAGAGAUUAAGCCCGCAUAAAAUCACAGCACAGCAUUGUGUAAUGAUCAAAUAUUUAUAGGAUAAAGAUGGGCAUGCGGAACAUUAGCUAGAUGGCGGGGUAACGGCCCACCAUGGCGACGAUGUUUAGGGGAUCUGAGAGGAUGGCCCCCCACACUGGUACUGAGACACGGACCAGACUCCUACGGGAGGCAGCAGUAAGGAAUAUUGGUCAAUGGGCGGAAGCCUGAACCAGCCAUGCCGCGUGCAGGAAGACGGCCCUACGGGUUGUAAACUGCUUUUAUACGGGAAUAAACCCAGAUACGUGUAUCUGGCUGAAUGUACUGUAAGAAUAAGGAUCGGCUAACUCCGUG